RNAcentral lists this ribosomal RNA (742 nucleotides) under uncultured bacterium. RNAcentral's name for it is "bacterial SSU rRNA". It matches the Rfam family "Bacterial small subunit ribosomal RNA", at positions 37 to 761 of the family's 1533-position model. The record is from RNAcentral.
UGGCGGCGUGCCUAAUACAUGCAAGUCGAGCGAACGGACGAGAAGCUUGCUUCUCUGAUGUUAGCGGUGGACGGGUGAGUAACACGUGGAUAACCUACCUAUAGGACUGGGAUAACUUCGGGAAACCGGAGCUAAUACCGGAUAAUAUUUUGAACCGCAUGGUUCAAAAGUGAAAGACGGUCUUGCUGUCACUUAUAGAUGGAUCCGCGCUGCAUUAGCUAGUUGGUAAGGUAACGGCUUACCAAGGCAACGAUGCAUAGCCGACCUGAGAGGGUGAUCGGCCACACUGGAACUGAGACACGGUCCAGACUCCUACGGGAGGCAGCAGUAGGGAAUCUUCCGCAAUGGGCGAAAGCCUGACGGAGCAACGCCGCGUGAGUGAUGAAGGUCUUCGGAUCGUAAAACUCUGUUAUUAGGGAAGAACAUAUGUGUAAGUAACUGUGCACAUCUUGACGGUACCUAAUCAGAAAGCCACGGCUAACUACGUGCCAGCAGCCGCGGUAAUACGUAGGUGGCAAGCGUUAUCCGGAAUUAUUGGGCGUAAAGCGCGCGUAGGCGGUUUUUUAAGUCUGAUGUGAAAGCCCACGGCUCAACCGUGGAGGGUCAUUGGAAACUGGAAAACUUGAGUGCAGAAGAGGAAAGUGGAAUUCCAUGUGUAGCGGUGAAAUGCGCAGAGAUAUGGAGGAACACCAGUGGCGAAGGCGACUUUCUGGUCUGUAACUGACGCUGAUGUGCGAAAGCG